Molecule: transfer RNA, 70 nt
Filed under: Camelus bactrianus (Bactrian camel)
Lineage: Eukaryota; Metazoa; Chordata; Mammalia; Artiodactyla; Camelidae
Also listed under: 2 other names
Rfam family: tRNA
About the family: Transfer RNA (tRNA) molecules are approximately 80 nucleotides in length. Their secondary structure includes four short double-helical elements and three loops (D, anti-codon, and T loops).
Source: Rfam by way of RNAcentral
GAGGGUGGAGCUCAGAGGUAGAGCGUGUGCUUAGCACGAGAGGUCCUGGGUUCAAUUCCCAGUACUUCUG